CAGUCGCCGCGGGAAUACGUAGGUGGCAAGCGUUGUCCGGAAUUAUUGGGCGUAAAGGGCUCGCAGGCGGUUUCUUAAGUCUGAUGUGAAAGCCCCCGGCUCAACCGGGGAGGGUCAUUGGAAACUGGGAAACUUGAGUGCAGAAGAGGAGAGUGGAAUUCCACGUGUAGCGGUGAAAUGCGUAGAGAUGUGGAGGAACACCAGUGGCGAAGGCGACUCUCUGGUCUGAAACUGACGCUGAGGAGCGAAAGCGUGGGGAGCGAACAGGAUUAGAUACCCCAGUAGUCCCUGUCUCUUAUAC
This 301-nucleotide ribosomal RNA is filed under the name uncultured bacterium. Its description in RNAcentral is "partial 16S ribosomal RNA". It matches the Rfam family "Bacterial small subunit ribosomal RNA", at positions 509 to 807 of the family's 1533-position model. The record is from RNAcentral.